Molecule: ribosomal RNA, 613 nt
Filed under: Haplidia transversa pelopponesica
Lineage: Eukaryota; Metazoa; Arthropoda; Insecta; Coleoptera; Scarabaeidae
Description: partial 16S large subunit ribosomal RNA
Rfam family: Bacterial large subunit ribosomal RNA
Source: RNAcentral
UUUAAAGUCUGGCCUGCCCAAUGAGGAGUUAAAUGGCCGCGGUAAUUUGACCGUGCAAAGGUAGCAUAAUCAUUAGUUUUUUAAUUGAAAGCUGGUAUGAAUGGUCGGACGAGAGAACAACUGUCUCAAUUUAAUUGUAGUAGAAUUUUAUUUUUAAGUUAAAAAGCUUAAAUAAUUUUAAAAGACGAGAAGACCCUAUAGAGUUUUAUAUAUAUAGGUAUAACUAUACAUUGGGAUAUAUUAGUAGGAAUAGUUAUCUGUAUUUUGUUGGGGUGACAAAAAAAUUAAACUAACUUUUUUUAUAUGUUUACAUUAAUUUAUGAGUGCAUGAUCCGUUAUUAACGAUUAUAAGAUCAAAUUACCUUAGGGAUAACAGCGUAAUUUUUUUUGAGAGUUCUAAUCGAAAAAAGAGUUUGCGACCUCGAUGUUGGAUUAAAAUUAAUUUUUGGUGUAGAAGCUAGAAUAUUAGGUCUGUUCGACCUUUAAAAUUUUACAUGAUCUGAGUUUAAACCGGUGUGAGCCAGGUUGGUUUCUAUCUUUAAAAAAAUUAAUUACCUUAGUACGAAAGGACCAGGUAGUUAUAAUAGUUAUUUGUUAUUGAAUAUUAUUAAUA